GGGCUUGGUAGCGCACUGCGUUCGGGACGCAGAGGUCGCAAGUUCAAAUCUUGUAAGUCCG
Molecule: transfer RNA, 61 nt
Filed under: Limosilactobacillus sp.
Lineage: Bacteria; Bacillati; Bacillota; Bacilli; Lactobacillales; Lactobacillaceae
Description: tRNA-Leu
Rfam family: tRNA
About the family: Transfer RNA (tRNA) molecules are approximately 80 nucleotides in length.
Source: RNAcentral